This 263-nucleotide ribosomal RNA is filed under the name uncultured bacterium. RNAcentral describes it as "partial 16S ribosomal RNA". It matches the Rfam family "Bacterial small subunit ribosomal RNA", at positions 335 to 615 of the family's 1533-position model. The record is from RNAcentral.
CCACCUACGGGAGGCAGCAGUGGGGAAUAUUGCACAAUGGGGGAAACCCUGAUGCAGCGACGCCGCGUGAGUGAAGAAGUAUCUCGGUACGUAAAGCUCUAUCAGCAGGGAAGAAAAUGACGGUACCUGACUAAGAAGCCCCGGCUAACUACGUGCCAGCAGCCGCGGUAAUACGUAGGGGGCAAGCGUUAUCCGGAUUUACUGGGUGUAAAGGGAGCGUAGACGGCAGCGCAAGUCUGGUGUGAAAUGCCGGGGCCCAACCC